GUCGAACGCUGGCGGCGCGCCUAACACAUGCAAGUCGAACGAGCGAGGGAGAGCUUGCUUUCUCGAGCGAGUGGCGAACGGGUGAGUAACGCGUGAGGAACCUGCCUCAAAGAGGGGGACAACAGUUGGAAACGACUGCUAAUACCGCAUAAGCCCACGACCCGGCAUCGGGUAGUGGGAAAAGGAGCAAUCCGCUUUGAGAUGGCCUCGCUUCCGAUUAGCUAGUUGGUGAGGUAACGGCCCACCAAGGCGACGAUCGGUAGCCGGACUGAGAGGCUGAACGGCCACAUUGGGACUGAGACACGGCCCAGAAUCCUACGGGAGGCAGCAGUGGGGAAUAUUGCAAAAUGGGGGAAACCCUGAUGCAGCGACGCCGCGUGGAGGAAGAAGGUCUUCGGAUUGUAAACUCCUGUUGUAGAGGAAGAUAAUGACGGUACUCAACAAGGAAGUGACGGCUAACUACGUG
RNAcentral lists this ribosomal RNA (466 nucleotides) under uncultured bacterium. RNAcentral's name for it is "partial 16S ribosomal RNA". It matches the Rfam family "Bacterial small subunit ribosomal RNA", at positions 28 to 507 of the family's 1533-position model. The record is from RNAcentral.